RNAcentral lists this ribosomal RNA (461 nucleotides) under uncultured Propionibacterium sp. RNAcentral describes it as "bacterial SSU rRNA". It matches the Rfam family "Bacterial small subunit ribosomal RNA", at positions 41 to 507 of the family's 1533-position model. Lineage: Bacteria; Bacillati; Actinomycetota; Actinomycetes; Propionibacteriales; Propionibacteriaceae. The record is from RNAcentral.
GGCGUGCUUAACGCAUGCAAGUCGACGGAAAGGCCCUGCGUUUUGUGGGGUGGCUCGAGUGGCGAACGGGUGAGUAACACGUGUAGUAACCUGCCCUUUGACUUUGGGAUAACUUCAGGAAACUGGGGCGUAAUACCGGAUAGGAGCUCCUGCUGCAUGGUGGGGGUUGGAAAGUUUCGGCGGUUGGGGAUGGACUCGCGGCUUAUCAGCUUGUUGGUGGGGUAGUGGCUUACCAAGGCGUUUGACGGGUAGCCGGCCUGAGAGGGUGACCGGCCACGAUUGGGACUGAGAUACGGCCCAGACUCCUACGGGAGGCAGCAGUGGGGAAUAUUGCACAAUGGGCGGAAGCCUGAUGCAGCAACGCCGCGUGCGGGAUGACGGCCUUCGGGUUGUAAACCGCUUUCGCCUGUGACGAAGCGUGAGUGACGGUAAUGGGUAAAGAAGCACCGGCUAACUACGUG